RNAcentral lists this ribosomal RNA (474 nucleotides) under [Candida] sp. LCF-41. RNAcentral's name for it is "eukaryotic LSU rRNA". The stretch from base 69 to 222 matches the Rfam family "5.8S ribosomal RNA". Lineage: Eukaryota; Fungi; Ascomycota; Saccharomycetes; Saccharomycetales. The record is from RNAcentral.
CAAUAUUUAUAUUGAAUUGUUAUUUUAAUUUUAUUGUCAAUUUGUUGAUUAAAUUCAAAAAUCUUCAAAACUUUCAACAACGGAUCUCUUGGUUCUCGCAUCGAUGAAGAACGCAGCGAAAUGCGAUAAGUAAUAUGAAUUGCAGAUUUUCGUGAAUCAUCGAAUCUUUGAACGCACAUUGCGCCCUUUGGUAUUCCAAAGGGCAUGCCUGUUUGAGCGUCAUUUCUCUCUCAAAUCUUCGGAUUUGGUUUUGAGUGAUACUCUUAGUCAGACUAAGCGUUUGCUUGAAAUGUAUUGGCAUGAGUGGUACUAGAUAGUGCUGAACUGUUUUCAAUGUAUUAGGUUUAUCCAACUCGUUGAUAUCGGUAAGGUAUUUGUUUAUUACACAGGCUCGGCCUUACAACAACAAACAAAGUUUGACCUCAAAUCAGGUAGGACUACCCGCUGAACUUAAGCAUAUCAAUAAGCGGAGGA